This 329-nucleotide ribosomal RNA is filed under the name uncultured eukaryote. RNAcentral's name for it is "partial 18S ribosomal RNA". It matches the Rfam family "Eukaryotic small subunit ribosomal RNA", at positions 1470 to 1796 of the family's 1831-position model. The record is from RNAcentral.
CCCUUAGAUGUUCUGGGCCGCACGCGCGCUACACUGAUGCAUUCAACGAGUCUAAAACCUGCUCUGAUAGGGGUGGGUAAUCUUUUGAAUGUGCAUCGUGAUUGGGAUAGAUGAUUGCAAUUUUUCAUCUUCAACAAGGAAUGCCUAGUAAACGCAAGUCAUCAGCUUGCAUUGAUUACGUCCCUGCCCUUUGUACACACCGCCCGUCGCUCCUACCGAUUGAAUGAUCCGAUGAAUAUCAUGGAUUGAGGAUGCAAGUAGGUUCGCCUAUCUUCAUCUUCGAGAAGUGAAGUAAAUCUUAUCAUUUAGAGGAAGGAGAAGUCGUAACA